AGGGAUCAUUACUGAGUGAGGGUUUCGGCCCGACCUCCAACCCCUAUGUAUUCCGACUCUGUUGCCUCGGGGGCGACCCUGCCUUCGGGCGUUGGGGCCCCCGGUGGACGCCAUAACUCUGCAUCUUUGCGUCUGAGUAACAUUUUGAAUUAAAUCAAAACUUUCAACAACGGAUCUCUUGGUUCUGGCAUCGAUGAAGAACGCAGCGAAAUGCGAUAAGUAAUGUGAAUUGCAGAAUUCAGUGAAUCAUCGAAUCUUUGAACGCACAUUGCGCCCCUUGGUAUUCCGAGGGGCAUGCCUGUUCGAGCGUCAUUACACCACUCAAGCCUCGCUUGGUAUUGGGCGCCGCGCUUCGGCGCGCGCCUCAAUGUAUCCGGCUGAGCCGUCCGUCUCUAAGCGUUGUGGCACUAUGUUUCCGCUUCGGAGGUCGGGAGGUCUCGCGCCGUUAAACACCCCAUCAAAGGUUGACCUCGGAUCAGGUAGGGAUACCCGCUGAACUUAA
This 502-nucleotide ribosomal RNA is filed under the name uncultured fungus. RNAcentral describes it as "eukaryotic LSU rRNA". The stretch from base 159 to 312 matches the Rfam family "5.8S ribosomal RNA". Lineage: Eukaryota; Fungi. The record is from RNAcentral.